AGUGAACGCUGGCGGUAGGCCUAACACAUGCAAGUCGAACGGUAGCACAGGAGAGCUUGCUCUCUGGGUGGCGAGUGGCGGACGGGUGAGGAAUACAUCGGAAUCUACUCUGUCGUGGGGGAUAACGUAGGGAAACUUACGCUAAUACCGCAUACGACCUACGGGUGAAAGCAGGGGAUCUUCGGACCUUGCGCGAUUGAAUGAGCCGAUGUCGGAUUAGCUAGUUGGCGGGGUAAAGGCCCACCAAGGCGACGAUCCGUAGCUGGUCUGAUAGGAUGAUCAGCAACACUGGAACUGAGACACGGGCCAGACUCCUACGGGAGGCGGCAGUGGGGAAUAUUGGACAAUGGGCGCAAGCCUGAUCCAGCCAUACCGCGUGGGUGAAGAAGGCCUUCGGGUUGUAAAGCCCUUUUGUUGGGAAAGAAAUCCAGCUGGCUAAUACCCGGUUGGGAUGACGGUACCCAAAGAAUAAGCACCGGCUAACUUCGUGCCAGCAGCCGCAGUAA
Molecule: ribosomal RNA, 506 nt
Filed under: uncultured bacterium
Lineage: Bacteria
Description: partial 16S ribosomal RNA
Rfam family: Bacterial small subunit ribosomal RNA
Source: RNAcentral